RNAcentral lists this ribosomal RNA (253 nucleotides) under uncultured bacterium. RNAcentral describes it as "partial 16S ribosomal RNA". It matches the Rfam family "Bacterial small subunit ribosomal RNA", at positions 524 to 776 of the family's 1533-position model. The record is from RNAcentral.
UACGUAGGGUGCGAGCGUUAAUCGGAAUUACUGGGCGUAAAGCGUGCGCAGGCGGUUCGUUGUGUCGGCGCUGAAAGCCCCGGGCUCAACCUGGGAAUGGCCGUUGAAACUGGCGAACUGGAGUGUGGCAGAGGGGGGUGGAAUUCCGCGUGUAGCAGUGAAAUGCGUAGAGAUGCGGAGGAACACCGAUGGCGAAGGCAGCCCCCUGGUCUAACACUGACGCUCAGGCACGAAAGCGUGGGGAGCAAACAGG